UAGGGAAUAUUGGUCAAUGGGCGAAAGCCUGAACCAGCAACGCCGCGUGUGCGAUGAAGGCCUUCGGGUCGUAAAGCACUUUUCUGGGAGAUGAGAAAGGACAGUAUCCCAGGAAUAAGUCUCGGCUAACUACGUGCCAGCAGCCGCGGUAAAACGUAGGAGGCGAGCGUUAUCCGGAUUCACUGGGCGUAAAGCGCGUGCAGGUGGCUUGGUAAGUUAGGCGUGAAAUCUCCCGGCUCAACUGGGAGAGGUCGUCUAAUACUACCGGGCUUGAGAGCAGAAGAGGAAGAUGGAAUUCCCGGUGUAGUGGUGAAAUGCGUAGAUAUCGGGAGGAACACCAGUGGCGAAGGCGAUCUUCUGGUCUGUUUCUGACACUCAGACGCGACAGCUAGGGUAGUAAACGGGAUUAGAGACCCCCGGUAAUCCCUAGCCGUAAACGAUGUAAACUUGGCGUUGGUGGGUUAAACUCCAUCAGUGCCGCAGCAAACGCGAUAAGUUACCG
RNAcentral lists this ribosomal RNA (502 nucleotides) under uncultured Chloroflexota bacterium. RNAcentral describes it as "bacterial SSU rRNA". It matches the Rfam family "Bacterial small subunit ribosomal RNA", at positions 355 to 871 of the family's 1533-position model. The record is from RNAcentral. Lineage: Bacteria; Bacillati; Chloroflexota.